This 378-nucleotide ribosomal RNA is filed under the name Fridericia parathalassia. Its description in RNAcentral is "partial 12S ribosomal RNA". The record is from RNAcentral. Lineage: Eukaryota; Metazoa; Annelida; Clitellata; Enchytraeida; Enchytraeidae.
UUAAGACCUAACAAUAUGCCGGAUAAUAAAAUCAACUGAUUAAAAUUCAAAGGAUAUGGCGGUGUUUUUAUAUUAAUCAGGGGAACCUGUUUCUUAAUUCGAUAUUCCACGCAAUUUCAACCUCUUCUUGAAUAUCAGCUUGUGUACUGCUGUCGCCAGUAGACCUAUAAAAGAAAGUUUACAAUAAAUAUAAUCUAUUUUACGUCAAGUCAAAGUGCAGCUAAUGAAGAGGAGAUAAUGGGUUACAACCUUAACAUAGAUUACGGCAUGACAAAAUAAAAAUGUCAUAAAGGUGGACUUGAAAGUAAUAUUUAUACCAUAAAAAUAUAAAAAUUUCUAAAACAUGUACACAUCGCCCGUCACUCUCAUCUAAAGACA